RNAcentral lists this ribosomal RNA (273 nucleotides) under uncultured prokaryote. RNAcentral describes it as "partial 16S ribosomal RNA". It matches the Rfam family "Bacterial small subunit ribosomal RNA", at positions 524 to 796 of the family's 1533-position model. The record is from RNAcentral.
UACGAAGGGGGCUAGCGUUACUCGGAAUGACUGGGCGUAAAGGGCGCGUAGGCUGUUUGCCGCGUCAGGCGUGAAAUUCCUGGGCUCAACCUGGGGGCUGCGCUUGAUACAGGCAGACUGGAGUGUGGAAGAGGGUCGUGGAAUUCCCAGUGUAGAGGUGAAAUUCGUAGAUAUUGGGAAGAACACCGGUGGCGAAGGCGGCGACCUGGUCCAUUACUGACGCUGAGGCGCGAAAGCGUGGGGAGCAAACAGGAUUAGAAACCCGUGUAGUCC